RNAcentral lists this ribosomal RNA (328 nucleotides) under uncultured eukaryote. RNAcentral describes it as "partial 18S ribosomal RNA". It matches the Rfam family "Eukaryotic small subunit ribosomal RNA", at positions 1470 to 1796 of the family's 1831-position model. The record is from RNAcentral.
CCCUUAGAUGUUCUGGGCUGCACGCGCGCUACACUGAUGCGCUCAACGAGUUUUAACCUUGCCUGGAAAGGUUGGGUAAUCUUUUUAAAACGCAUCGUGAUGGGGAUAGAUUAUUGCAAUUAUUAAUCUUCAACGAGGAAUUCCUAGUAGACGCAAGUCAUCAACUUGCAUCGAUUACGUCCCUGCCCUUUGUACACACCGCCCGUCGCUACUACCGAUUGAAUGUUUUAGUGAGUUGCAUGGACUGAUUCGCUUGAUUGGGUUUCCUUUCUUGUGUUUCGGAAAGUGCCACAAACUUGAAUAUUUAGAGGAAGUAAAAGUCGUAACA